UGGGACACCUGCCUUGGACCCUGGACAAAGUCAUUAAUCAGUGAGGAUGAGGACAAAGAAGACACCUCCCAGAGCCCCAACCUCAGGAAGGAAGGACAAAAACCAUCUGGGAUUCCACAGCAGCCUCCAGGACACAGAUGCCCCCACCGCCCCUUCCUUAGGCUGGCCUGCUCCUCGGACCCCCUGGGAAAGAGUGCCCGCCCAAGCGCAGCUUACAAUGACGAGAGUACCCGCUGAAGAGCAGCUGACAGUAACAGUGCCCACUUGAGAGACUUGAGGACUAGGAGCCGUGAGACCAUCGGCCGUGGUCCCAGAGGAGGCAUGAAGAAGCUCUGGAAAGGACGCCAGCCGCAGGGCACAAACUGAGCCGGAGGCUUCUCUGGCCAGCCUGGCGCUGCCCUGGCCUGAUUACCCAUGAUCAUGAGUGCUCCAUACAAGGAGCAUGGGGACGGGAUAAGUAUUACCAGUGAUCGCCCUUAGGCUGUCUUUGCCCCAGCCACUGCAGGAAGCCCCUCCCCCAGUCUCCCCACACUGACCCAGAGGGCACCAGCUUCCAUCCCCAAGGGGACUUUCGGGCCAUCCAGCUCCACCUCCUGGUAAAACCUGAAACUGCGCCCCAGCUCUUAGACACCCACAAGCCCUUGAUGGGAAACCCCCAAAGCGGCCGGCUCAGAGCUGGGGUGCGAGCCACCAGAUCCAGACCAUCCUCCCCUGAACCCCCCUUCUGUGGGAAGUCCUGUAAGGUGGAGGCUGACAUUGUCCCCAGAAGCCCAAUAUUCUCGGCCCCUCGCCCCUGUCCCUGCACCAGGGAAGGGGAAUGUCCCUGGCUGACCACCUUGCUGGGGCAGACUUGGAUGACGCCGUCCCCACUACAGCUGCUGCCAGUUCCCCCAGGCCCUACUGGCCCAGCGCCUCCUGCUCGCUAGGGCUCCCCCUCAGUGCCCACAUUGGGCUGGACUCUGUGGACCACAAAGCAGGGGGUGGGGCGCUCGCCACCCUGAGCCCGGACCAUCGGCGGAGGCUUUCUCCGUUCUGAUGGCCGGGCCCAAGGCGGGUCCCCCUCCUGCUUCUGUCCGGCGCAGAACGUGUGCAUUCUAAAGCCAUGAGGACAAGCGGCUCCGGGCCUUCACAAAGCCUUGGUGCUCCUCAGGGAGCCGGUCUGCAGAGCUCUGGGGCCAUGGGAGACCCUCGGGGCGGUGCCUCUUGGCACUGAGCCCUCACCCGGAGGGCCCACCCCCGGCUCAGCCGUAAGCAGGCUGCUGUGGGGGAGUCGCCGCCCCGGAUGGCGAGUUACCCGGCGUGGGGCCCAGACUCGCUCAGGGAGAGCGUCUUCCUUUCUCGAGAUCGCGCCCGUGGAGCCACGUGGCGCAGCCCAGCAGGAGCAUCUGCCGACAGCCGGACAGCGGCGAGCACCGACUCUGAACCCGAUGAAGCUUCCGCUCCCCCCAGUUCCGUUAUUCUCAGACUAAGUUACCAAGUGAACAAAUAAAUGCUCCUGGUACAUUUUGAACUUUGCCAAC
Molecule: long non-coding RNA, 1520 nt
Organism: Sarcophilus harrisii (Tasmanian devil)
Lineage: Eukaryota; Metazoa; Chordata; Mammalia; Dasyuromorphia; Dasyuridae
Exons: 2
Source: RefSeq, a predicted model, not a curated record